Molecule: ribosomal RNA, 1322 nt
Filed under: metagenome
Description: bacterial LSU rRNA
Rfam family: Bacterial large subunit ribosomal RNA
Source: RNAcentral
AGUGGAUGGGGAGCAACCUAGUUGUGCGUGUGUAAAGGUAGUGCCAAGAAAAGCGAUGAUCAUGUUGAAAAUCAAUUCCCGGUACCCGAAACCGACACAGGUGGGCAAGUAGAGAAUACUAAGGGGCGCGAGGUAACUCUCUCCAAGGAACUCGGCAAAAUGACCCCGUAACUUAGGGAGAAGGGGUGCCACCGAGAGGUGGUCGCAGUGAAGAGGCCCAGGCGACUGUUUAGCAAGAACAUAGGUCUCUGCAAACUCGAAAGAGGAGGUAUAGGGGCUGACGCCUGCCCAGUGCCGGAAGGUUAAAGAAGUUGGUCAGUUUUAGGAUGAAGCUAGCGACUGAAGCCCCGGUGAACGGCGGCCGUAACUAUAACGGUCCUAAGGUAGCGAAAUUCCUUGUCGGGUAAGUUCCGACCCGCACGAAAGGCGUAACGAUCUGGGCGCUGUCUCGGAGAGAGGCUCGGCGAAAUAGGAUUGUCUGUGAAGAUACGGACUACCUGCAUUUGGACAGAAAGACCCUAUGAAGCUUUACUAUAGCUUGGAAUUGUGUUCGGGCUUCCUGUGCGCAGGAUAGGUGGGAGGCGUAGAAGGUAUUCUUGUGGGGAUACUGGAGCCAACGGUGAGAUACCACUCUCAGGAGGCUAGAAUUCUAACUUAAUUAAGGACAGUUUCAGGUGGGUAGUUUGACUGGGGCGGUCGCCUCCAAAAAGGUAACGGAGGCGUACAAAGGUUCCCUCAGACUGGUUGGAAAUCAGUCGAAGAGUGCAAAGGCAGAAGGGAGCUUGACUGCGAGAAGUACAGUUCGAGCAGGGUGGAAACACGGUCUUAGUGAUCCGACGGUGCUGUGUGGAAGGGCCGUCGCUCAACGGAUAAAAGUUACUCUAGGAUAACAGGCUGAUCUCCCCCAAGAGUUCACAUCGACGGGGAGGUUUGGCACCUCGAUGUCGGCUCAUCGCAACCUGGGGCGGAAGUACGUCCCAAGGGUUGGGCUGUUCGCCCAUUAAAGCGGUACGUGAGCUGGGUUCAGAACGUCGUGAGACAGUUCGGUCCAUAUCCGAUGUAGGCGUGAGAAUAUUGAGAGGAGCCUUCCUUAGUACGAGAGGACCGGGAAGGACGCACCGCUGGUGUACCUGUUAUGAUGCCAAUUGUAAACGCAGGGUAGCCAAGUGCGGAGAGGAUAACCGCUGGAAGCAUCUAAGUGGGAAGCCCACCUCAAGAUGAGUAUUCUGGUGUAAGGUCACGGGAAGACGACCCGUAAAUAGGCACGAGGUGGAAGUGCAGAGAUGUAUGAAGCCGAAGUGUACUAAUAGACCGUCGGCUUG